This 253-nucleotide ribosomal RNA is filed under the name uncultured bacterium. RNAcentral's name for it is "partial 16S ribosomal RNA". It matches the Rfam family "Bacterial small subunit ribosomal RNA", at positions 524 to 776 of the family's 1533-position model. The record is from RNAcentral.
UACGUAGGUGGCAAGCGUUGUCCGGAAUUAUUGGGCGUAAAGCGCGCGUAGGCGGCUACCUAAGUCGGAUGUGAAAGCCCCUGGCUCAACUGGGGAAGUGCACCCGAAACUGGAUAGCUUGAGUGCGAAAGAGGGUCGCGGAAUUCCCGGUGUAGAGGUGAAAUUCGUAGAUAUCGGGAGGAACACCGGUGGCGAAGGCGGCGACCUGGGUCGACACUGACGCUGAGGCGCGAAAGCGUGGGGAGCAAACAGG